This 762-nucleotide ribosomal RNA is filed under the name Salmonella enterica. Its description in RNAcentral is "partial 23S ribosomal RNA". It matches the Rfam family "Bacterial large subunit ribosomal RNA", at positions 785 to 1547 of the family's 2925-position model. The record is from RNAcentral. Lineage: Bacteria; Pseudomonadati; Pseudomonadota; Gammaproteobacteria; Enterobacterales; Enterobacteriaceae.
AAUGUUGAAAAAUUAGCGGAUGACCUGUGGCUGGGGGUGAAAGGCCAAUCAAACCGGGAGAUAGCUGGUUCUCCCCGAAAGCUAUUUAGGUAGCGCCUCGUGAAUUCAUCUCCGGGGGUAGAGCACUGUUUCGGCUAGGGGGCCAUCCCGGCUUACCAACCCGAUGCAAACUGCGAAUACCGGAGAAUGUUAUCACGGGAGACACACGGCGGGUGCUAACGUCCGUCGUGAAGAGGGAAACAACCCAGACCGCCAGCUAAGGUCCCAAAGUCAUGGUUAAGUGGGAAACGAUGUGGGAAGGCCCAGACAGCCAGGAUGUUGGCUUAGAAGCAGCCAUCAUUUAAAGAAAGCGUAAUAGCUCACUGGUCGAGUCGGCCUGCGCGGAAGAUGUAACGGGGCUAAACCAUGCACCGAAGCUGCGGCAGCGACGCUGAUGCGUUGUUGGGUAGGGGAGCGUUCUGUAAGCCUGCGAAGGUGGCCUGUGAGGGUUGCUGGAGGUAUCAGAAGUGCGAAUGCUGACAUAAGUAACGAUAAAGCGGGUGAAAAGCCCGCUCGCCGGAAGACCAAGGGUUCCUGUCCAACGUUAAUCGGGGCAGGGUGAGUCGACCCCUAAGGCGAGGCCGAAAGGCGUAGUCGAUGGGAAACGGGUUAAUAUUCCCGUACUUGGUGUUACUGCGAAGGGGGGACGGAGAAGGCUAUGUUGGCCGGGCGACGGUUGUCCCGGUUUAAGCGUGUAGGUGUGUGUUCCAGGUAAAUCCGGUU